UUGAUCCCUGGCUCAGGACGAACGCUGGCGGCAUGCCUAAUACAUGCAAGUCGAGCGGAUGAUGAAGAAGCUUGCUUCUUCUGAUUUAGCGGCGGACGGGUGAGUAACACGUGGGCAACCUGCCCUGUAGAUUGGGAUAACUCCGGGAAACCGGGGCUAAUACCGAAUAAUCCAUUUCCUCACAUGGGGAAAUGUUAAAAGACGGUUUCGGCUGUCACUACAGGAUGGGCCCGCGGCGCAUUAGCUAGUUGGUAAGGUAACGGCUUACCAAGGCGACGAUGCGUAGCCGACCUGAGAGGGUGAUCGGCCACACUGGGACUGAGACACGGCCCAGACUCCUACGGGAGGCAGCAGUAGGGAAUCUUCCACAAUGGACGAAAGUCUGAUGGAGCAAUGCCGCGUGAGUGAAGAAGGUUUUCGGAUCGUAAAACUCUGUUGUAAGGGAAGAACAAGUACGAGAGUAACUGCUCGUACCUUGACCGGUACCUUAUUAGAAAGCCACGGCUA
This 507-nucleotide ribosomal RNA is filed under the name Pasteuriaceae bacterium CL7.82. RNAcentral describes it as "bacterial SSU rRNA". It matches the Rfam family "Bacterial small subunit ribosomal RNA", at positions 13 to 499 of the family's 1533-position model. Lineage: Bacteria; Bacillati; Bacillota; Bacilli; Caryophanales; Pasteuriaceae. The record is from RNAcentral.